GACGAACGCUGGCGGCGUGCUUAACACAUGCAAGUCGAACGGAAAGGCCCUGCUUUUGUGGGGUUCUCGAGUGGCGAACGUGUGAGUAACACGUGAGUAACCUUCCCUUGACUUUGUGAUAUCUUCAGGAAACUGGUGCUAAUACCGGAUAGGAGCUCCUGCUGCAUGGUGGGCGUUGGAAAGUUUCGGCGGUUGGGGAUGGACUCGCGGCUUAUGAGCUUGUUGGUUGGGUAGUGGCUUACCAAGGCUUUGACGGGUAGCCGGCCUGAGAGGGGAGACAGCGACAUGGGGACUGAGGGACGGAGCAGACGGGAACGGGAGGCAGCAGGGGGAAAUAUGACACAAUGGGGGGAAGCGUGAGGCAAAAACGCCGGGUGCGGAAAGAAGGCCUUCGGGGGAUAAACCGCUGUAGCCUGAGACGAAGCGUGAGUGACGGUAAUGGGUAAAGAAGCACCGGCUAACUACGUG
RNAcentral lists this ribosomal RNA (468 nucleotides) under uncultured bacterium. RNAcentral's name for it is "partial 16S ribosomal RNA". It matches the Rfam family "Bacterial small subunit ribosomal RNA", at positions 28 to 507 of the family's 1533-position model. The record is from RNAcentral.